This 232-nucleotide ribosomal RNA is filed under the name uncultured bacterium. RNAcentral describes it as "partial 16S ribosomal RNA". It matches the Rfam family "Bacterial small subunit ribosomal RNA", at positions 103 to 334 of the family's 1533-position model. The record is from RNAcentral.
CGGGUGAGUAACACGUGGGUGACCUGCCCUUAGCUCUGGGAUAAGCCUGGGAAACUGGGUCUAAUACCGGAUAUGACCUCCAUGACGCAUGUUGUGGGGUGGAAAGCCUUGUGCGGCUAGGGAUGGGCCCGCGGCCCAUCAGCUUGUUGGUGGGGUGAUGGCCUACCAAGGCGACGACGGGUAGCCGGCCUGAGAGGGCGACCGGCCACACUGGGACUGAGACACGGCCCAG